Paralichthys olivaceus (Japanese flounder) is the source of this 314-nucleotide non-coding RNA. NCBI's taxonomy places the organism in Eukaryota, Metazoa, Chordata, Actinopteri, Pleuronectiformes, Paralichthyidae. The record is from RefSeq and is a predicted model, not a curated record.
CUGAACUUCCCAAGGUGAAAACGCUCAGCUGGGGUGGAACCUCUUCCCCGGGAACAUCCCUCCGCUGCCGGGGGACUGAAAAAAGUAUGAUGGGAAGAGUCUCUGAAAGAGAACGAUGAAGGGGCAUUAUCCACAGAAUUCUGGGAAAAUACCAUCUGCUGACACAGUGGUGCUAAAAUUUAGCGUUCACAUCAGAGACUCCCUCUGCUAAAGCCAGACCACUUCCUGUUGGAUCCCAUCUCCAGAAAGAAAAUCAACAUAACAUUUUUUUUUUUACCCUCUGAAUUUAAUUGGACUUCAGUUGGAUCUAUUUC